Molecule: long non-coding RNA, 131 nt
Filed under: Ictidomys tridecemlineatus (thirteen-lined ground squirrel)
Lineage: Eukaryota; Metazoa; Chordata; Mammalia; Rodentia; Sciuridae
Description: lncRNA (ENSSTOG00000031673.1)
Source: RNAcentral
GCAGCUGCAGCCUCCUCCAGGAUUAGUGCCAGGCCAGUUCCUUGCCCCAGGGAGGAAGCCUAGUCUGACAUCUGCUCCCUUGAAGCUGAGUAUUCUGAAGGCUGAAACUCCGCUGAGAACAACCCCAUUUU